CAGCAGCCGCGGUAAUACGUAGGUGGCAAGCGUUGUCCGGAAUUAUUGGGCGUAAAGGGCUCGCAGGCGGUUUCUUAAGUCUGAUGUGAAAGCCCCCGGCUCAACCGGGGAGGGUCAUUGGAAACUGGGAAACUUGAGUGCAGAAGGGGAGAGUGGAAUUCCACGUGUAGCGGUGAAAUGCGUAGAGAUGUGGAGGAACACCAGUGGCGAAGGCGACUCUCUGGUCUGUAACUGACGCUGAGGAGCGAAAGCGUGGGGAGCGAACAGGAUUAGAUACCCCCGUAGUCCCUGUCUCUUAUAA
RNAcentral lists this ribosomal RNA (301 nucleotides) under uncultured bacterium. RNAcentral's name for it is "partial 16S ribosomal RNA". It matches the Rfam family "Bacterial small subunit ribosomal RNA", at positions 509 to 809 of the family's 1533-position model. The record is from RNAcentral.